GUGUGGUAGAAAGAAUUAAAAAAGGGAAUGAUGAUGAUGAUUAACUAAUAGAAGGUGAGAGCAGGGUCUAUCCUGAGUGAGGCUGGCGACCUCUACCUACUCUAGCUAAUUCCUCCUUUUUCUUCUCCUACUUUACUUCUCUCAUCGCUGUUUGUAAAUAGGGAAGGUGAAAGCAGGGUUCUAUCCUGAACGGGGGCUGGCGACCUCUACCUUACUUGAGCUAACUUCCCCUUUUCUCUUCUACUGUUCUACUUCUUUCCUUACUAUUAAUGUGGUUAAGGGAAGGUGAAAGCAGGGUUCUCUCCUGAACGGGGGCUGGCGACCUCUACCUUACUUGAGCUAAUUCUUCCAGUUUUCUUCUACUAUUCUACUUGUUUCAUUUACUUUUGAUGUUCAGGGUCGGGGGGAGGAGAUAGUUAUAGCCGGAUUUAGAGGAAUUUCGAA
RNAcentral lists this long non-coding RNA (444 nucleotides) under Penaeus japonicus. RNAcentral's name for it is "uncharacterized LOC122254512". The record is from RNAcentral. Lineage: Eukaryota; Metazoa; Arthropoda; Malacostraca; Decapoda; Penaeidae.